GCAAGUCGUACGAGAACUCUUCUGCUUGCAGAAGAUAGUAAAGUGGCGCACGGGUGAGUAACGCGUGGGUAAUCUACCUCCGAAUCGGGGAUAACCCGCCGAAAGGCGAGCUAAUACCGGAUAAUAUCUUUUUAACUUCGGUUUUUGAGAUCAAAGGUGGUCUCUACAUGUAAGCUACUGUUUGGAGAUGAGCCCGCGUACCAUUAGCUUGUUGGUAGGGUAAUGGCUUACCAAGGCUUCGAUGGUUAGCUGGUCUGAGAGGAUGAUC
RNAcentral lists this ribosomal RNA (268 nucleotides) under uncultured bacterium. Its description in RNAcentral is "partial 16S ribosomal RNA". It matches the Rfam family "Bacterial small subunit ribosomal RNA", at positions 57 to 305 of the family's 1533-position model. The record is from RNAcentral.